This 1627-nucleotide long non-coding RNA is filed under the name Cinara cedri. Lineage: Eukaryota; Metazoa; Arthropoda; Insecta; Hemiptera; Aphididae. The record is from RNAcentral.
AAAAAAAAAAAUAACUCUUUUAAAGUAGUUUUCCCUAACGGAAAGUUAUAUAGUUUUCGAAUGUUAUUCAUUUUUCUUUCAAUGAUGUUUAUUGACCGAUAUGUAUGGUCUUUGAAAAAUCAGAUUUUCAAAAAAAUAAUAAUAAUAUCGCAUUAUGAAAUUAACCUCCAAACCAGCUACCGUAUAAGAUAACCGUACAUACAGAUGUAGUAAUCUAAAUAAUCUUAUCACAAUAUUUCUAAGUUUCUGGAUAGAUACGUAUAUAACAUUUAAUUUAUACAAUUCUUAAUAUUCGUAAUAUAUUAAUUAUGUAUCAUUAAACUAUACUACUAUAAACUUUCAUAUUCACAAACAAAUUAAAUCCACUCAAUUUAAAAUCCAACUCGUGAAUAGAGCAAAACUUAAUAAAAUCAUUUUUAUGUAACGUCUAUAUUUAUCAAACUUUAUUUUGUCAUUUUUUCAUGUUAUCAUUAGAAUAAGUUCGGAAGAAACGUUUUGAUACGAUUCUAAAAAUAAUAUCAUGGGUAAAACAAAAUUGUACUCUCAAUUAUUUUUUAAAAAAUGUCCAUGAGUUUUAUUUCACACAUUAGUGUGAUUACUUCUUUAUUUAACGUUUUAAUAAACUAGAUUAAAAACAACUGUCAAUUUUUUUUUUCUUAAACAAUUUAUCUACCGAUAAGACGUGGGGUGUUUUCUCCCUAUAAAAAAAAAGAGCGUUAUCCAGUGUUUUUAAAAAUUAUUUAUGGCAGAGUUUGCAAUAUAAUAUAUUUAAUGUUUCACCCAGAUAAUAUUUUUUUGACUUUCUAGACAAUUUUCUGGAUAAAAUGGCGUAUUUGACAUAAAUCCUAGAGCAAUAGAUUAUGAAAUAUGAUUGAAUAUCGCAUUUUUUUAAAUCCAUAAGCUACAGAACAAUAUCGAAAAUAUGAAUGUUGUGAUUAACCAAUAUAACCAAUGUGAAAUUUUAAACGACUGAAAAAUGUUUUAUUAUUAUUAUUAUUUUGGUAAGUUUCAAUAAUUUAUUUUACUCAUUUUCGGUGAUAACCGACUUAAUUUUUUAUUCAUCACCUAUAUAUAUAUAUAUAUAUACAUAAAUAUAUAGGUACAUUAAGCAACAUAUCCAAAUAUUAUGUCAAAUUUAAUCCCAACGCGUCAUUUAAUUUAAUUGGUGUAUUCGUAUUAUGAUAUAUUACGUAAUAAUAAUAUCGUAUGUAUCGGUUCGGUUUAUAAGAAUUAAUUUACAAAAUAUAGGAACAGGGUGCGAUAAUAAUACUUAGCACUUCUUUAUACAAAUAAUAUUUUAGUUCACGUUGUUUUUAAUCAAACCGUAAUGUGAUGACCACUAUUAUAUUGUCAUGUUUUAAUUUAUUAUUAUUAUUACUUAACUAUGUUUAACGAUUAUCUAGCGUCUAUACAAUACAUAUUUUACUAUAAUAAUAUUAUCGAUCGUGUAACACAUGUGUGUAUAUCAUAUCACAAAUUAAUAUAAUAACAUUGCGACAGUAUACACCUAAGUAUAAUAAUAUUGUAUACAUUUUAAUAAUAUAAAUUGUUGUAUACAUGAUUUUUAUUACAAUUUUAUUUACCAGUAUAAUAUUUACGAGUUUAAUAGUAAAGUUGUAUUAUAACG